AACAGCACUGGCACCAUCAGGUCCCUUUAGCUUUCUGUUUUCUGUGUGCCUUUCCCAACCCAGCUCUAACUUUUGGCUAAUUUAUACCUCCCUUACCUUCCCCACCAUCCCACGUGCAGAUGCCGCUGGACUCCACGAGACAGACAGGCAAGAGGGAAGGAGAGACCCUGUUGCUCUUUAGUGUGAACAACUCAGAGCUCAGUUUGGCAUUUUGCUUUUGCCCACUGUUGGAGGCAGGAGCUAGAUGGACCUUUGGCCUGGCCCAGUGUGGCUGCUCCUCUGGUGUUGUGAAAGAGUUGGAGCCCUUGUGUUGCAGGCAAAAGCCUGAAAAUGUGAUCCAAAUGCAUUGCAAGGCUCAGAAACCAGAUGUCAAAGAAGAAACCAAACUGUGCUGCCAUUUUCAAAUAUCUGAAGUUUUAAAGCAAUCUAAGCAUGCUCUGGGUCUUCACCUGUAUUUUCUGAGUGUGGAAAGGCUCAGCAGUAAAUAAAGCUUCACAUUCCAUAGAGGUAAAGGCACAUAAAGUCUUCAGGGGUGCUAAUAUUCUCCAUCUCCCCUCUCUUGCUUGCUUUUGUCUGAUUCUCAUCCUGCAUGGGCUUUGCUUUCCACAUUGUGAGUAGUCACAUUCCUCACAGUGGUAAAGAAAAGCACACAAAUAAAUCUUUGCUGGAACAGAGCAAAUUUUAAAUCAAAUCAGAAUUUUACAAGCAAGGGAGAUCAAGGUUUUAAGCUCUUCCAUCUGUGACUGUGUGCUUGUAGAGUGCAAUGUGCACCAGGCCAGGGGAUACAGCUCGUGACUCUCAAGGCUACUGUAUCACAACAACCAUUAUUACUGCUGCUGCUUCUACUACUACUACUACUAAAAUAGAAUUGUUAAUUGUUAAGUAGGCUUUGUGAUCGCGUUCAUCUGCUUAGGAAGGUGCAAGAAAGAUUUUCUUGAGCUGUUCCACAGCAAAACAGCUAUUUCCACGUUGCAAAAGGAGCUUGACAAU
Empidonax traillii (willow flycatcher) is the source of this 990-nucleotide long non-coding RNA. RefSeq lists it as uncharacterized. NCBI's taxonomy places the organism in Eukaryota, Metazoa, Chordata, Aves, Passeriformes, Tyrannidae. The record is from RefSeq and is a predicted model, not a curated record. The transcript is spliced from 3 exons.